CAAGAUGUAGCUUAAUCAAUCAAAGCACCCGGCUUACACCCGGAAGACUUCANUGUCACCUGAACAUCUUGA
Molecule: transfer RNA, 72 nt
Filed under: Rubrisciurus rubriventer (Sulawesi giant squirrel)
Lineage: Eukaryota; Metazoa; Chordata; Mammalia; Rodentia; Sciuridae
Description: tRNA-Val
Rfam family: tRNA
About the family: Transfer RNA (tRNA) molecules are approximately 80 nucleotides in length. Their secondary structure includes four short double-helical elements and three loops (D, anti-codon, and T loops).
Source: RNAcentral